ACUCACCUUCAUCUUCUUCUUCAAUCUUCGUUUGGAUUUCUUGAUGUUUUCAUGGUAUCAUAGCAGGACGAUAAUCCGUCGAUACUCUCCUGCAUUUUGUUAUCUCAGUCGAAAUCUCGUUGGAAAAUUUUCGGGUGUUUCUGAGAUAUUUGGUCAGUCAUGAUUCCGAUCAAAAAUCGGGUGUUGAUCUGAGACUUUUAUCACAAUAACUGGUUGCAUCUUCACUACUCGGACGUUUUGGGUUGGUUUUCCGACGUUCUCGAGUCGAUUCUGGCGAGGCUUCAGAUUUUAGGGUUUCUGCUGUUCGGAACUGGCAUUUUUCUCUAUUAAUCGAAAUCCGGCGAGGCUUCAGAUUUUAGGGUUUCUACUGGGUUUCUGCUGUUCGGAACUCGCAUUUUUCUGUUAAUCGAAGGCCGAUCUUCUCCGGUCGCGAAGAAGGAGGGUAAAUUUGUUCCUAUUUUAGGUGCUAUAUGAUUUGCAUGAAUUUUUUGAUACAACUUUAGUUUUUCAAACUACUUGCAGAUAUUAUAUUUUGACUUUAAACUCAUUGGUCUUCAUGGCUGCUAACAUGAGUACUAAUACAACUCCUGUUGAUCCUACCAGUCCCUUAUUUGNNN
This 617-nucleotide long non-coding RNA is filed under the name Nicotiana benthamiana. Its description in RNAcentral is "long non-coding RNA (NBEN_LNC017009)". Lineage: Eukaryota; Viridiplantae; Streptophyta; Magnoliopsida; Solanales; Solanaceae. The record is from RNAcentral.